RNAcentral lists this transfer RNA (67 nucleotides) under Hylia prasina (green hylia). RNAcentral's name for it is "tRNA-Cys". The record is from RNAcentral. Lineage: Eukaryota; Metazoa; Chordata; Aves; Passeriformes; Sylviidae.
GGCUCUGUGGUGAAAUUCAUGGUGAGUUGCAAGCUCACAGAUGUGCGUUGAUUGCGUGCCGGGGCCU